UUCGGGGGUAAACGGACAGAGCCCGUGAAUCCGGGCGUCAGUGUUCAGAAGCGACGACGUUCGCGCGUCGUCGUCGUUUUGAUAUUUCUGGCGCCGCGGACGUCGCGACCCGUUUGGUGUCGGUCUGAGGGGUCGCGUUUCACGUUCGUUUUGCGCGCGCGUGUGUAUCCCUUGCGGGGAUGCGCGCGUACGCGUUUACGAGUACGCGUACACCUAAUACGCCCCGGCUGACUAGCCAGACGGUACGAUGGGUGACCGGGUGCGACCGCGCGUCGCAUCCGGUGCCGGUCUGCGACGAAUCUUCGGGCCUCUUUCCGACCCGUCUUGAAACACGGACCAAGGAGUCUAACGUGCGCGCGAGUCGCGGGGUGUCGGGUAGCGUACCGCGCUACCCGUUAGAUAACGAAACCCGUGUUGAGCCGAUGAAGGCGCAAUGAAAGUGAAACGCGCGUGUGUUGCGGGGAAGAUGGCGUUACCGAGUACACGUUCCGCGCGCUUUGGUCGCGCGGCCGGUCGCCCGCAUUCCCGGGGCGUCCCAACGGCACGUCGGCGUGGGGGCGCGUCGUCUUCACAGCGGCGGCGGUCUCGCGUCGACGAACCGGGGCGCACCUAUAGCGUGCACGUUGGUACCCGAAAGAUGGUGAACUAUGCCCGGCCAGGAUGAAGUCAGGGGAAACCCUGAUGGAGGUCCGCAGCGAUUCUGACGUGCAAAUCGAUCGUCUGAGCUGGGUAUAGG
Molecule: ribosomal RNA, 736 nt
Filed under: Rastrococcus sp. 3 JC-2021
Lineage: Eukaryota; Metazoa; Arthropoda; Insecta; Hemiptera; Pseudococcidae
Description: partial large subunit ribosomal RNA
Rfam family: Eukaryotic large subunit ribosomal RNA
Source: RNAcentral